This 459-nucleotide ribosomal RNA is filed under the name uncultured bacterium. RNAcentral describes it as "partial 16S ribosomal RNA". It matches the Rfam family "Bacterial small subunit ribosomal RNA", at positions 338 to 795 of the family's 1533-position model. The record is from RNAcentral.
CCUACGGGAGGCUGCAGUGAGGAAUAUUGGUCAAUGGCCGAAAGGCUGAACCAGCCAAGUCGCGUGAGGGAAGAAUGUCCUCUGGAUGGUAAGCCUCUUUUGUCAGGGAGCAAAGUCAACCGCGUUUGGGUGUUGGAGAGUACCUGAAGAACAAGCAUCGGCUAACUCCGUGCCAGCCGCCGAGGUAAUGCGGAGGAUGGGAACGUUAUCCGGAUUUAUUGGGUUUAACGGGUGCGUAGGCGGGUUAUCAAGUCAGUGUGAAACUCGUGGAGCUCAACUCCAUCCAGCCGUUGAAACUGAUGAUCUUGAGUGGGCGAGAAGUAUGCGGAAUGCGGGGUGUAGCGGUGAAAUGCAUAGAUAUCACGCAGAACUCCGAUUGCGAAGGCAGCAUACCGGCGCCCGACUGACGCUGAAGCACGAAAGCGUGGGUAGCGAACAGGAUUAGAUACCCUUGUAGUC